GGACUCCUAGGGAUGUUGCCCCUUACAUGCUAUUUAUUGAGCUCAUUGGAUGCCUGGGACCUGCAUACUUUGUGCAAGCCUGGAUGACAGAGCAACUCACAGAACCAAGGUGCCCAGAAGUGCCCCAUGGCUGCUACCACCACAUGGCAACCCACGGGCUGGGAACAGCAGCCACGGGGAUGGAUGGACACUGGAAACCUCUUGGCCAAGGCAUGCAUAUCCUCCUUCACCUUGAACCGUGCCAAACGCUCAGAUAGUAUCAGGAAUUAGACCACUCCUUAAGGCUCCCUCAAUAGGUGCACGAAGACUUCUCCAGCUGGUGUUGUCACACAAGGCAAAACACUGUUCCAGAACACUCAGUCCAUCUGCAACUGCAGGUCCCCCAGGAAUUUAUUGUGAGAAGCUGGAAGGUCAUCCUUGAAUGCAACUCUAGUCAAAGGACACGACUUAAUGUAAGAUGUAGCACUCAUGGUUGGGUCUCAGGGGGGGACUUUAAAUAGGUGUCAAUCUCACAACAAACAGCAGCACAGUGGGGAGCCCUUGGCUGCCCAUGGGCACCAGAAACAAAUGAAUGAAGAGUAUGUCUCAGCAGAAGCAGUGGUCUGAAGACCCAUCAGGUCUAAAACUUCACACAUACAAAUGGCAGACAGUAGAGAUUUAAACAUG
Molecule: long non-coding RNA, 666 nt
Filed under: Phasianus colchicus (ring-necked pheasant)
Lineage: Eukaryota; Metazoa; Chordata; Aves; Galliformes; Phasianidae
Description: lncRNA (ENSPCLG00000010199.1)
Source: RNAcentral